GUGGGGAAUAUUGGACAAUGGGCGCAAGCCUGAUCCAGCAAUGCCGCGUGGGUGAAGAAGGUCUUCGGAUCGUAAAGCCCUUUCGACAGGGACGAUGAUGACGGUACCUGUAGAAGAAGCCCCGGCUAACUUCGUGCCAGCAGCCGCGGUAAUACGAAGGGGGCUAGCGUUACUCGGAAUUACUGGGCGUAAAGGGCGCGUAGGCGGCUCUGUUAGUCAGGCGUGAAAUUCCUGGGCUUAACCUGGGGACUGCGCUGGAUACUGCAGGGCUUGAGGCCGAGAGAGGGUGGUGGAAUUCCCAGUGUAGAGGUGAAAUUCGUAGAUAUUGGGAAGAACACCGGUGGCGAAGGCGACCACCUGGCUCGGUUCUGACGCUGAGGCGCGACAGCGUGGGGAGCAAACAGGAUUAGAAACCCGUGUAGUCC
This 425-nucleotide ribosomal RNA is filed under the name uncultured bacterium. RNAcentral describes it as "partial 16S ribosomal RNA". It matches the Rfam family "Bacterial small subunit ribosomal RNA", at positions 354 to 796 of the family's 1533-position model. The record is from RNAcentral.